Molecule: ribosomal RNA, 532 nt
Filed under: uncultured bacterium
Lineage: Bacteria
Description: partial 16S ribosomal RNA
Rfam family: Bacterial small subunit ribosomal RNA
Source: RNAcentral
UGGGGAAUAUUGCACAAUGGGCGCAAGCCUGAUGCAGCCAUGCCGCGUGUGUGAAGAAGGCCUUCGGGUUGUAAAGCACUUUCAGCGAGGAGGAAGGUGGUGAACUUAAUACGUUCAUCAAUUGACGUUACUCGCAGAAGAAGCACCGGCUAACUCCGUGCCAGCAGCCGCGGUAAUACGGAGGGUGCAAGCGUUAAUCGGAAUUACUGGGCGUAAAGCGCACGCAGGCGGUUUGUUAAGUCAGAUGUGAAAAUCCCCGGGCUCAACCUGGGAACUGCAUUUGAAACUGGCAAGCUAGAGUCUCGUAGAGGGGGGCUAGAAUUCCAGGUGUAGCGGUGAAAUGCGUAGAGAUCUGGAGGAAUACCGGUGGCGAAAGGCGGCCCCCCUGGACGAAGACUGACGCUCAGGUGCGAAAAGCGUGGGGCAGCAAACAGGAUUAGAUACCUGGUAGUCCACGCUGUAAACGAUGUCGAUUUGGAGGUUGUGCCCUUGAGGCGUGGCUUCCGGAGCUAACGCGUUAAAGUCGACCGCC